AAGAAUUUCGGAAAUUAAAAUAGGCGAGCAAGUUGUAACUUCACCUGUCGAAAUGGCUGAAACGUUUAAUAGCCAUUUCUCAAAUGUUGGGGUUGAUCUUGCAGCUAAAAUACCCGCUUCUGAGUAUAACCCAGAGGUCUAUCUCACACCUACAGAUAAAACGUUCAACCUGCAAACUCCUACGAUUGAUAGAGUCCACAGAUUGUUGAAAACGAUUGAUGAAAAAAAAUCUGUUGGUCUUGAUAAAAUACCAAAUAAAUUGUUAAAAAUGGCGGCAGAUGUGAUUGCGCCUUCUUUAACAGAGAUAUUUACUAAAUCUAUUCAUACUGGAAUAUUUCCAGAUGAAUGGAAGGAAGCAAGGG
This is a non-coding RNA of Paramuricea clavata, 362 nucleotides long. The record is from the annotation of a GenBank genome assembly. NCBI's taxonomy places the organism in Eukaryota, Metazoa, Cnidaria, Anthozoa, Malacalcyonacea, Plexauridae.